AUUGAACGCUGGCGGCAGGCCUAACACAUGCAAGUCGAGCGGUAGCACAGAGAGCUUGCUCUCGGGUGACGAGCGGCGGACGGGUGAGUAAUGUCUGGGAAACUGCCCGAUGGAGGGGGAUAACUACUGGAAACGGUAGCUAAUACCGCAUAACGUCGCAAGACCAAAGAGGGGGACCUUCGGGCCUCUUGCCAUCGGAUGUGCCCAGAUGGGAUUAGCUAGUAGGUGGGGUAACGGCUCACCUAGGCGACGAUCCCUAGCUGGUCUGAGAGGGUGACCGGCAACACUGGAACUGUGACACGGUCCAGACUCCUACGGGAGGCAGCAGUUGGGAAUAUUGCACAAUGGGCGCAAGCCUGAUGCAGCCAUACCGCGUGUAUGAAGAAGGCCUUCGGGUUGUAAAGUACUUUCAGCGGGGAGGAAGGUGUUGAGGUUAAUAACCUCAGCAAUUGACGUUACCCGCAGAAGAAGCACCGGCUAACUCCGUGCCAGCCGCCGCGGUAA
RNAcentral lists this ribosomal RNA (504 nucleotides) under uncultured bacterium. RNAcentral describes it as "partial 16S ribosomal RNA". It matches the Rfam family "Bacterial small subunit ribosomal RNA", at positions 30 to 523 of the family's 1533-position model. The record is from RNAcentral.